RNA transcript from Gossypium raimondii (Peruvian cotton), 1001 nucleotides. It is a transcript of the gene named chaperonin 60 subunit beta 1, chloroplastic, with no coding region annotated. The record is from RefSeq and is a predicted model, not a curated record. The transcript is spliced from 6 exons. Lineage: Eukaryota; Viridiplantae; Streptophyta; Magnoliopsida; Malvales; Malvaceae.
CUUGUUCCCUAUCUAAGCUUGAUUUUUUGCCUUGCUUUUAUUUGGAAAUAUAUGGCAUUCAUUUAGGUUCUAGUAAAUAACUUGUUCUGCCUCAAGCCUUAUGCCUCUCUUUUUAUCUUCUCACAGCAGUUCACAGAAUUCAACCCCUAUUUCUUUAUUUUCAAAGUACAAGACGAGUCCAACUAGAAACAAGCUCAUGAGUGUAUUUGUCAGGCUGGAGAAGUGAUCUUUGUGCCAAAUGGAUGGUGGCAUCUAGUGAUUAACCUAGAAGAAUCUGUUGCCAUUACACAGAACUAUGUUAGCAGGAGAAAUUUAUUGAACGUUCUCGAUUUUCUUAAGAAGCCGAAUGCUAGCGAGCUUGUUUCUGGGACAACAGACAGAAUAAACUUGGUACUUACAUAAAGCUUGGAUGUACUCAAGGAUGGAUGUUUGGUUCUUUUUUUCGUCCAUCUCCAACGUGAGUCUACUUAUAGAUGUUUGCUUAUUAAGAGAGUAAGAUGGCAUCCACUUUCACAGCCAUGUCAUCAGUUGGCUGGUGUGAACAAGUUUGCUGAUUUGGUUGGAGUCACUCUUGGACCAAAAGGCAGGAAUGUCGUUCUAGAGAGCAAAUAUGGCUCUCCCAAAAUCGUUAAUGAUGGUGUGAUAGUGGCUAAGGAGGUGGUUAGAUGUUGCUUGGAGCAUGCAACAUCAGUGGCCAAGACAUUCUUGAUGUCCUAUUGUGUGGUUGUGGAAAUAAAGAAACCUGAGCCCGUGCCUGCUGGGAACCCCAUGGAUAAUUCAGGAUAUGGCUACUAAAGCAGAUGUUGAAGGGAAAUCGAAUAAGGUAUCAAAUCUCUAUUGUAGCAAUGAUGAACCUGUUUAGAGUAGAAUGCUUAUUUUCGUUGUUGAUUACUUAUUGAAGAAUCCUUAAUAUCCCCGUGAUAUAUAAGAUUUGCAUUUUGCAGUCCAGUGUAACAAUUUUGAACAUCAUUUUUCAGUGAAAGGAAGAAAGUUGGUAUUCA